RNAcentral lists this ribosomal RNA (253 nucleotides) under uncultured bacterium. Its description in RNAcentral is "partial 16S ribosomal RNA". It matches the Rfam family "Bacterial small subunit ribosomal RNA", at positions 524 to 776 of the family's 1533-position model. The record is from RNAcentral.
UACGUAGGGCGCAAGCGUUAUCCGGAAUUAUUGGGCGUAAAGAGCUCGUAGGCGGUCUGUCGCGUCUGCUGUGAAAACUCAGGGCUUAACCCUGAGCUUGCAGUGGGUACGGGCAGACUAGAGUGCGGUAGGGGAGACUGGAAUUCCUGGUGUAGCGGUGAAAUGCGCAGAUAUCAGGAGGAACACCGGUGGCGAAGGCGGGUCUCUGGGCCGUAACUGACGCUGAGACACGAAAGCGUGGGUAGCAAACAGG